This 294-nucleotide long non-coding RNA is filed under the name Callithrix jacchus (white-tufted-ear marmoset). RNAcentral's name for it is "lncRNA (ENSCJAG00000075855.1)". The record is from RNAcentral. Lineage: Eukaryota; Metazoa; Chordata; Mammalia; Primates; Cebidae.
GAUAAUACAGGCAACAAGGAAUGGUUUUCUUCUGACAAGAGUAUUGCAGGCACUAUCGCUGGCUUACAAAGAGGGUUCAAGAAUAAAAAGAGAAUCGAGCCCUGUCUGAGAGAAGGAAAAGGUUUUUCAGUAUUGGAACUUGGUGAACGCUGAUGAAAUAUUCCUUCCCACACCUCUCUAAAUGGAACAACACAUUCACUAUGUGGAAGAAAAGCAAGCACAACUAUUCAUUUCAGAAGGACUCUGUUUUGAAGUGAGUACAAUAUUCAUAGUAAUAAUAAUUAAAUAAAAUGU